Molecule: long non-coding RNA, 254 nt
Filed under: Ananas comosus (pineapple)
Lineage: Eukaryota; Viridiplantae; Streptophyta; Magnoliopsida; Poales; Bromeliaceae
Description: long non-coding RNA (ACOM_LNC038254)
Source: RNAcentral
CUGCCGCCGCCGCCUCCGAUUUCGCCACCGCCAAUACAGCCACCACUAGUACCGCCGCCGCCGCUUCCGGUUCCGCCGUCUCUGUCAUUUCCGCAACCGCCUCCCAUUCCGCUACCGCCGCUGCCUCCGGUUCCGCCACCGCCACCAUUUUCGCACCCACCUCCGGUUUCGCUGCAGCCACUGGUUCCGUCGCCUUCCCCGGUUCAGCUGCCGCCUGCGGUUCCGCCGCCGCUGCCCUUUCCGCCGCGGCCUAU